This 73-nucleotide transfer RNA is filed under the name Ixodes scapularis (black-legged tick). It matches the Rfam family "tRNA". Rfam says of the family: Transfer RNA (tRNA) molecules are approximately 80 nucleotides in length. Their secondary structure includes four short double-helical elements and three loops (D, anti-codon, and T loops). The record is from Rfam by way of RNAcentral. Lineage: Eukaryota; Metazoa; Arthropoda; Arachnida; Ixodida; Ixodidae.
UCCUAGUUAGCUCAGUUCGCAAAGCGCUGUACUGGAAAUGGAGCGGUCCCUGGUUCGAUACCAGGACCAGGUU